CCUACGGGUGGCAGCAGUGAGGAAUAUUGGUCAAUGGUCGGGAGACUGAACCAGCCAAGCCGCGUGAGGGAGGAAGGUACAGAGUAUCGUAAACCUCUUUUGUCAGGGAAAAACGGCGGGGACGUGUCCACGGAUGAGUGUACCUGAAGAACAAGCAUCGGCUAACUCCGUGCCAGCAGCCGCGGUAAUACGGAGGAUGCGAGCGUUAUCCGGAUUUAUUGGGAUUAAAGGGUGCGGUGGCGGUUUGUUAAGUCAGCGGUCAAAGCCCGGGGGUGAACCCCGGCCCGCCGUUGAAACUGGCAGUCUCGAGUUGGAGAGAGGUAUGCAGAGUGCGCGGUGUAGCGGUGAAGUGCAUAGGUAUCGCGCAGAACUCCGAUUGCGAAGGCAGCAUGCCGGCUCCACACUGACGCUGAGGCACGAAAGCGUGGGUAUCGAACAGGAGUAGAUACCCCUGUAGUC
This 459-nucleotide ribosomal RNA is filed under the name uncultured bacterium. RNAcentral describes it as "partial 16S ribosomal RNA". It matches the Rfam family "Bacterial small subunit ribosomal RNA", at positions 338 to 795 of the family's 1533-position model. The record is from RNAcentral.